Molecule: ribosomal RNA, 352 nt
Filed under: Eutreptiella gymnastica
Lineage: Eukaryota; Euglenozoa; Euglenophyceae; Eutreptiales; Eutreptiaceae
Description: partial Bacterial large subunit ribosomal RNA
Rfam family: Bacterial large subunit ribosomal RNA
Source: RNAcentral
CGGUGGAUGCCUAGGCAGUUAGAGGCGAUGAAGGACGUGUAAGUCUGCGAAAAGCUGUGGUGAGCCGACAAAAUGCAUUUGAGCCACAGAUGUCCGAAUGGGGAAACCCAGUGCAUUUAUGCACUAUCUGCAACUGAAUACAUAGGUUGUAGAGGCAAACGAGGGGAACUGAAACAUCUAAGUACCCGGAGGAAAGGAAAUCAAUUGAUACUCCCCUAGUAGCGGCGAGCGAACGGGGACCAGCCGAGCCAUGAAUGUGACUAGAACGACCUGGAAAGGUCGGCCAUAGCGGGUGACAGCCCCGUAUAGGAAGCACGAUUGGACGUAUUAAGUAGGGCGGGACACGUGAAAU